GGGUUGUGAGGUUAAGCGACUAAGCGUACACGGUGGAUGCCCUGGCAGUCAGAGGCGAUGAAGGACGUGCUAAUCUGCGAUAAGCGUCGGUAAGGUGAUAUGAACCGUUAUAACCGGCGAUUUCCGAAUGGGGAAACCCAGUGUGAUUCGUCACACUAUCAUUAACUGAAUCCAUAGGUUAAUGAGGCGAACCGGGGGAACUGAAACAUCUAAGUACCCCGAGGAAAAGAAAUCAACCGAGAUUCCCCCAGUAGCGGCGAGCGAACGGGGAGGAGCCCAGAGCCUGAAUCAGCAUGUGUGUUAGUGGAAGCGUCUGGAAAGGCGCGCGAUACAGGGUGACAGCCCCGUACACAAAAGCGCAUGUGUUGUGAGCUCGAUGAGUAGGGCGGGACACGUGGUAUCCUGUCUGAAUAUGGGGGGACCAUCCUCCAAGGCUAAAUACUCCUGACUGACCGAUAGUGAACCAGUACCGUGAGGGAAAGGCGAAAAGAACCCCGGCGAGGGGAGUGAAAAAGAACCUGAAACCGUGUACGUACAAGCAGUGGGAGCCCCACCACCAAAGCAUUCUCUGGUGUUGAAGGCCCUGCAAAGCAGCAUCGCGGUGGCGGAGCGUCGUUUGCGACGCCCAACACACAAAACAAGCGGUGAGUGCUUUGGGGUGGGGUGACUGCGUACCUUUUGUAUAAUGGGUCAGCGACUUAUAUUCUGUAGCAAGGUUAACCGAAUAGGGGAGCCGGAGGGAAACCGAGUCUUAACCGGGCGUUAAGUUGCAGGGUAUAGACCCGAAACCCGGUGAUCUAGCCAUGGGCAGGUUGAAGGUUGGGUAACACUAACUGGAGGACCGAACCGACUAAUGUUGAAAAAUUAGCGGAUGACCUGUGGCUGGGGGUGAAAGGCCAAUCAAACCGGGAGAUAGCUGGUUCUCCCCGAAAGCUAUUUAGGUAGCGCCUCGUGAAUUCAUCUCCGGGGGUAGAGCACUGUUUCGGCUAGGGGGCCAUCCCGGCUUACCAACCCGAUGCAAACUGCGAAUACCGGAGAAUGUUAUCACGGGAGACACACGGCGGGUGCUAACGUCCAUCGUGAAGAGGGAAACAACCCAGACCGCCAGCUAAGGUCCCAAAGUCAUGGUUAAGUGGGAAACGAUGUGGGAAGGCCCAGACAGCCAGGAUGUUGGCUUAGAAGCAGCCAUCAUUUAAAGAAAGCGUAAUAGCUCACUGGUCGAGUCGGCCUGCGCGGAAGAUGUAACGGGGCUAAACCAUGCACCGAAGCUGCGGCAGCGACACUGUGUGUUGUUGGGUAGGGGAGCGUUCUGUAAGCCUGCGAAGGUGGCCUGUGAGGGUUGCUGGAGGUAUCAGAAGUGCGAAUGCUGACAUAAGUAACGAUAAAGCGGGUGAAAAGCCCGCUCGCCGGAAGACCAAGGGUUCCUGUCCAACGUUAAUCGGGGCAGGGUGAGUCGACCCCUAAGGCGAGGCCGAAAGGCGUAGUCGAUGGGAAACGGGUUAAUAUUCCCGUACUUGGUGUUACUGCGAAGGGGGGACGGAGAAGGCUAUGUUGGCCGGGCGACGGUUGUCCCGGUUUAAGCGUGUAGGCUGGUUUUCCAGGCAAAUCCGGAAAAUCAAGGCUGAGGCGUGACGACGAGGCACUACGGUGCUGAAGCAACAAAUGCCCUGCUUCCAGGAAAAGCCUCUAAGCAUCAGGUAACAUCAAAUCGUACCCCAAACCGACACAGGUGGUCAGGUAGAGAAUACCAAGGCGCUUGAGAGAACUCGGGUGAAGGAACUAGGCAAAAUGGUGCCGUAACUUCGGGAGAAGGCACGCUGACAUGUAGGUGAAGUGAUUUACUCAUGGAGCUGAAGUCAGUCGAAGAUACCAGCUGGCUGCAACUGUUUAUUAAAAACACAGCACUGUGCAAACACGAAAGUGGACGUAUACGGUGUGACGCCUGCCCGGUGCCGGAAGGUUAAUUGAUGGGGUCAGCGCAAGCGAAGCUCCUGAUCGAAGCCCCGGUAAACGGCGGCCGUAACUAUAACGGUCCUAAGGUAGCGAAAUUCCUUGUCGGGUAAGUUCCGACCUGCACGAAUGGCGUAAUGAUGGCCAGGCUGUCUCCACCCGAGACUCAGUGAAAUUGAACUCGCUGUGAAGAUGCAGUGUACCCGCGGCAAGACGGAAAGACCCCGUGAACCUUUACUAUAGCUUGACACUGAACAUUGAGCCUUGAUGUGUAGGAUAGGUGGGAGGCUUUGAAGCGUGGACGCCAGUCUGCGUGGAGCCGACCUUGAAAUACCACCCUUUAAUGUUUGAUGUUCUAACGUGGACCCGUGAUCCGGGUUGCGGACAGUGUCUGGUGGGUAGUUUGACUGGGGCGGUCUCCUCCUAAAGAGUAACGGAGGAGCACGAAGGUUGGCUAAUCCUGGUCGGACAUCAGGAGGUUAGUGCAAUGGCAUAAGCCAGCUUGACUGCGAGCGUGACGGCGCGAGCAGGUGCGAAAGCAGGUCAUAGUGAUCCGGUGGUUCUGAAUGGAAGGGCCAUCGCUCAACGGAUAAAAGGUACUCCGGGGAUAACAGGCUGAUACCGCCCAAGAGUUCAUAUCGACGGCGGUGUUUGGCACCUCGAUGUCGGCUCAUCACAUCCUGGGGCUGAAGUAGGUCCCAAGGGUAUGGCUGUUCGCCAUUUAAAGUGGUACGCGAGCUGGGUUUAGAACGUCGUGAGACAGUUCGGUCCCUAUCUGCCGUGGGCGCUGGAGAACUGAGGGGGGCUGCUCCUAGUACGAGAGGACCGGAGUGGACGCAUCACUGGUGUUCGGGUUGUCAUGCCAAUGGCACUGCCCGGUAGCUAAAUGCGGAAGAGAUAAGUGCUGAAAGCAUCUAAGCACGAAACUUGCCCCGAGAUGAGUUCUCCCUGAGACUUAGAGUCUCCUGAAGGAACGUUGAAGACGACGACGUUGAUAGGCCGGGUGUGUAAGCGCAGCGAUGCGUUGAGCUAACCGGUACUAAUGAACCGUGAGGCUUAACCUUACAACGCCGAAG
This 3026-nucleotide ribosomal RNA is filed under the name Salmonella enterica subsp. enterica serovar Saintpaul str. SARA26. Its description in RNAcentral is "bacterial LSU rRNA". It matches the Rfam family "Bacterial large subunit ribosomal RNA". Lineage: Bacteria; Pseudomonadati; Pseudomonadota; Gammaproteobacteria; Enterobacterales; Enterobacteriaceae. The record is from RNAcentral.